This 449-nucleotide ribosomal RNA is filed under the name uncultured organism. RNAcentral describes it as "partial 16S ribosomal RNA". It matches the Rfam family "Bacterial small subunit ribosomal RNA", at positions 334 to 800 of the family's 1533-position model. The record is from RNAcentral.
CACUCCUACGGGAGGCAGCAGUGGGGAAUAUUGGACAAUGGGCGCAAGCCUGAUCCAGCCAUGCCGCGUGAGUGAUGAAGGCCCUAGGGUUGUAAAGCUCUUUCACCGGUGAAGAUAAUGACGGUAACCGGAGAAGAAGCCCCGGCUAACUUCGUGCCAGCAGCCGCGGUAAUACGAAGGGGGCUAGCGUUGUUCGGAUUUACUGGGCGUAAAGCGCACGUAGGCGGACUAUCAAGUCAGGGGUGAAAUCCCGGGGCUCAACCCCGGAACUGCCUUUGAUACUGGUAGUCUUGAGUUCGAGAGAGGUGAGUGGAAUUCCGAGUGUAGAGGUGAAAUUCGUAGAUAUUCGGAGGAACACCAGUGGCGAAGGCGGCUCACUGGCUCGAUACUGACGCUGAGGUGCGAAAGCGUGGGGAGCAAACAGGAUUAGAAACCCGAGUAGUCCCUGA